GAUGAAGAACGCAGCGAAAUGCGAUAAGUAAUGUGAAUUGCAGAAUUCAGUGAAUCAUCGAAUCUUUGAACGCACAUUUCGCCCGCCAGUAUUCUGGCGGGCAUGCCUGUCUGAGCGUCAUUUCAACCCUCAUGCCCCUAGGGCGUGGUGUUGGGGAUCGGCCAAAGCCCGCGAGGGACGGCCGGCCCCUAAAUCUAGUGGCGGACCCGUCGUGGCCUCCUCUGCGAAGUAGUGAUAUUCCGCAUCGGAGAGCGAUGAGCCCCUGCCGUUAAACCCCCAACUUUCCAAGGUUGACCUCAGAUCAGGUAGGAAUACCCGCUGAACUUAAGCAUAUCAAUAAGCGGAGGA
This 348-nucleotide unclassified non-coding RNA is filed under the name soil metagenome. Its description in RNAcentral is "partial contains 5.8S ribosomal RNA, internal transcribed spacer 2, and large subunit ribosomal RNA". The stretch from base 1 to 120 matches the Rfam family "5.8S ribosomal RNA", at positions 35 to 154 of the family's 154-position model. The record is from RNAcentral.